Molecule: signal recognition particle RNA, 298 nt
Filed under: Saimiri boliviensis boliviensis (Bolivian squirrel monkey)
Lineage: Eukaryota; Metazoa; Chordata; Mammalia; Primates; Cebidae
Description: Metazoan signal recognition particle RNA (ENSSBOG00000004206.1)
Rfam family: Metazoan signal recognition particle RNA
About the family: The signal recognition particle (SRP) is a universally conserved ribonucleoprotein. It is involved in the co-translational targeting of proteins to membranes.
Source: RNAcentral
GCUGGGCGCGGUGGUGUGUGCCUAUAGUCCCAGCUACUUGGGAGGCUGAGGUGGGAGGAUCGCUUGAGCCCAGGAGUUCUGGGGUGUAGUGCACUAUGCCGAUUGGGUGUCCACACUAAGUUUGGCAUCAAUAUGGUGACCUCCCAGGAGCGGGGACCACCAGGGUGCCUAAGGAGGGGUGAACCGGCCCAGGUCGGAAAUGGAGCAGGUCAAAAUUCCUAUGCUGAUCAGUAGUGGGAUCGCAUCUGUGAAUAGCCACUGCACUCCAGCCUGGGCAACAUAGCGAGACCCCAUCUCU